RNAcentral lists this ribosomal RNA (494 nucleotides) under uncultured bacterium. Its description in RNAcentral is "partial 16S ribosomal RNA". It matches the Rfam family "Bacterial small subunit ribosomal RNA", at positions 28 to 507 of the family's 1533-position model. The record is from RNAcentral.
GACGAACGCUGGCGGCGUGCUUAACACAUGCAAGUCGAACGGAAAGGCCUGCUUUCCCUUGUGGAUUGCGGGUACUCGCGUGGCGAACGGGUGAGUAACACGUGAGUGCUCUGCCCCCCCCUUGGGUAUAAGCCUGGGAAACUGGGUCUAAUUCCCGAUAGGACUGCAGGGUGGUGCCUGUGGUGGACAACGAUUUUCUCGUGGUUGGGGAUGAGCUCGCGGCCUAUCAUCUUGUUGGUGGGGUAAUGGCCUACCAAGGCGGCGACGGGUAGCCCGCAUGAGAGGGUGGACGGCCACAUUGGGACUGGGUUACGGCCCAGACUCCGACGGGAGGCAGCAGUUGGGAAUAUUGCACAAUGGGCGGAAGCCUGAUGCACCGACGCCGCGUGGGGGAUGACGGCCUUCGAGUUGUAAACUCCUUUCGACCGCGAGGAAGCCACCUAGUUGGAAGGGUGGUGACGGUAGUGGUAGAAGAAGCACCGGCUAACUACGUG